UCGGCAUUCCGCCCCAGGUCCUCCCCACCCAGCUGGGGCAGGGCGUAGCCUGAAGGGCAGGAGCUCAGCCAUCACCAGGAGGAGCAGAGCUGAUGAUCCAGCCUCACACCGAGCCUGGGGAACAAAGUGUUUGAGCUGGGGAAGAAAAUGUUUGAGCCGGGGAACAAAGUGUUUGAGCUGGCUGCUGCCUGAGAAAGAAGAGCAUUAACCCUGGUUUCCCUCCAACCUCCAGCACUUGCACUUCAGCCAUCAUUGAUCCUCCAUCCCAGGGAAAUUCCGUGCAGUGCAAUUUGGGGAGGCUGUUGGGGGAAAUGGGGAGCAGAGCAUCCCAGGAGCUGCGGCAUGGACGAGGCUUCUCCCUCCACCAGGAUCCUGAGCUGUGUCCCUGUGCUGAUCCCUGGCUUUGAGUCUGGCUGCCUUUGCUGGGUGUCCUGCGGACAGGAGGGACACAGAAGCCAGCGAUGGCUUUGCCAUGAAAAUGUUGCAGGCUUGGAGGCUGGGCUGAUGUGGGGAAGGCUCCAGAGACUUCUAUACUGCAAACUCCUGGCUAGAAGGCUGUGGAUGAAAUUCUGCCACACCUGGGACUUUUUCAGACAUCAGCCCGUGCUGCAGCAGCCCCCCGGACUCAGUUCAGUGCCCUGUGAGGAGGGACGAGGCUUUGGCAGCGCUGCUGGGAUCGGACCCAUCCUCCGUGUCUGCCCAGUGCCACCUACAGCAGCCAGAGCAGAAGCUGCAGCGCCGGCAAAGCGAUGGAAACAAUUCCAGCACCUCCAGCAAAAGGUGUGUUCACAUUGAUGGUAAAAGGUUUUAAAAUCAUAGAAAAUUUGGGGAGCUAGAGAGAAAGUUAGGCGUAGUAUGCCCUGGGAAAUUGUUAGGCCUUGUGUUUGCUAGGUUAUGUGAAACUGCGCCUGUGUAGUCAGUAUAUGAUAGAUAAUUGUUAGAUGUGAUUAGAUAUAAUUAUUGUUUAAAGAAUAAUGAGAAACUCUAACACACUUUAACAAACUACUUAAGAAAACUAAUACAGCAUAACUUUCUAACAUAACACAUAUAAUAUUCAUUUUAAUAUUUGCAAAAAAGCCAACAAUAAAAUAUGCACUUUUCACA
Molecule: long non-coding RNA, 1104 nt
Filed under: Junco hyemalis (dark-eyed junco)
Lineage: Eukaryota; Metazoa; Chordata; Aves; Passeriformes; Passerellidae
Description: lncRNA (ENSJHYG00000012753.1)
Source: RNAcentral